AGAGUUUGAUCCUGGCUUAGGAUGAACGCUGGCGGCGUGCUUAACACAUGCAAGUCGAACGAGGGUUACCGGUUGAAAUUUCGAAUGGAAACGGGUAAUACCUAGUGGCGGACGGGUGAGUAACGCGUGGGGGAACCUGCCCCAUUCCGGGGGAUACCAGUUGGAAACGACUGUAAUACCGCAUAAGCGCACAGUACUGCAUGGUACGGUGUGAAAAAACCACGGUGGAAUGGGAUGGCCCCGCGUCUGAUUAGCCAGUUGGCAGGGUAACGGCCUACCAAAGCGACGAUCAGUAGCCGGCCUGAGAGGGCGACCGGCCACAUUGGGACUGAGACACGGCCCAAACUCCUACGGGAGGCAGCAGUGGGGAAUAUUGCACAAUGGGGGGAACCCUGAUGCAAGCGACGCCGCGUGAGUGAAGAAGUAUUUCGGUAUGUAAAGCUCUAUCAGCAGGGAAGAAGAUGACGGUACCUGCACAAGAAGCCCCGGCUAACUACGUGCCAGCCGCCGC
Molecule: ribosomal RNA, 511 nt
Filed under: uncultured bacterium
Lineage: Bacteria
Description: bacterial SSU rRNA
Rfam family: Bacterial small subunit ribosomal RNA
Source: RNAcentral